UGGGGAAUUUUGGACAAUGGGCGAAAGCCUGAUCCAGCAAUGCCGCGUGUGUGAAGAAGGCCUUCGGGUUGUAAAGCACUUUUGUCCGGAAAGAAAUCCUUGGCUCUAAUACAGUCGGGGGAUGACGGUACCGGAAGAAUAAGCACCGGCUAACUACGUGCCAGCAGCCGCGGUAAUACGUAGGGUGCAAGCGUUAAUCGGAAUUACUGGGCGUAAAGCGUGCGCAGGCGGUUUGCUAAGACCGAUGUGAAAUCCCCGGGCUCAACCUGGGAACUGCAUUGGUGACUGGCAGGCUAGAGUAUGGCAGAGGGGGGUAGAAUUCCACGUGUAGCAGUGAAAUGCGUAGAGAUGUGGAGGAAUACCGAUGGCGAAGGCAGCCCCCUGGGCCAAUACUGACGCUCAUGCACGAAAGCGUGGGGAGCAAACAGGAUUAGAUACCCUGGUAGUCCACGCCCUAAAACGAUGUCAACUAGUUGUUGGGGAUUCAUUUCCUUAGUAACGUAGCUAACGCGUGAAGUUGACCGCCUGGGGGAGUACGGUCGCAAGAUUAAAACUUAAAU
RNAcentral lists this ribosomal RNA (560 nucleotides) under uncultured bacterium. Its description in RNAcentral is "partial 16S ribosomal RNA". It matches the Rfam family "Bacterial small subunit ribosomal RNA", at positions 355 to 906 of the family's 1533-position model. The record is from RNAcentral.